Molecule: ribosomal RNA, 252 nt
Filed under: uncultured Bacteroidales bacterium
Lineage: Bacteria; Pseudomonadati; Bacteroidota; Bacteroidia; Bacteroidales
Description: partial 16S ribosomal RNA
Rfam family: Bacterial small subunit ribosomal RNA
Source: RNAcentral
UACGUAGGGGGCAAGCGUUGUUCGGAAUGACUGGGCGUAAAGGGUGCGUAGGCGGAGUGUCAAGUCAGCGGUAAAAUUUCGGGGCUCAACCUCGUCGUGCCGUUGAAACUGACACCCUUGAGUGAGUGAGAAGUAAGCGGAAUGCGUGGUGUAGCGGUGAAAUGCAUAGAUAUCACGCAGAACGCCGAUUGCGAAGGCAGCUUACCGGCGCUCAACUGACGCUGAGGCACGAAAGUGCGGGUAUCGAACAGG